GGUUAAGCGACCAAGCGUAUACGGUGGAUGCCUUGGCAGUCAGAGGCGAUGAAGGACGUAGUAACUUGCGAAAAGCGUUGGUGAGCUAGUAACAAGCAUUUGAGCCAGCGAUGUCCGAAUGGGGAAACCCGGCACCAUAAGGUGUCAUCACUAAGUGAAUACAUAGCUUAGUGAGGCGAACGAGGGGAACUGAAACAUCUAAGUACCCUUAGGAAAAGAAAUCAACCGAGAUUCCCCAAGUAGCGGCGAGCGAACGGGGAUUAGCCCUUAAGUCUUUGGGGUGUUAGUGGAAUGUGUUGGAAAGCACAGCGGCACAGGGUGAUAGCCCCGUACAUGUAAACUAACCAGAGAUGAAAUCGAGUAAGGCGGCACACGUGAUAUGUUGUCUGAAUAUGGGGGGACCAUCCUCCAAGGCUAAAUACUCCUGACUGACCGAUAGUGAACCAGUACCGUGAGGGAAAGGCGAAAAGAACCCCUGUGAGGGGAGUGAAAUAGAACCUGAAACCGUAUACGUACAAGCAGUGGAAGCCCCAUCACCAGAUUGCUUUUUGCAGUAGCAGUCAAUUAGGCGAUUGCCUAGAUUAUUCAUGGAAAGACUAAAAGGAACUUUAUAUGAAACGACUACUGCUAAUUCUGUGUGUGGCAAUAGGUUCUGUAUCCUCAGUUAGUGCAAAUCCUGGAUUUUGUGAAGAUGGAUACUAUGACCCUGAAAAUCCGUUUUUUUGUCCAAAAAAAGACUGAUAUUUAACACCGUAGUAGUGGACUAUUUAAUUUAAAGAAUUGGUUCACGGUGAGAGUAAUUUGGGAUGGGGUGACUGCGUACCUUUUGUAUAAUGGGUCAGCGACUUACAUUUAGUAGCGAGGUUAAGCGAAUAGCGGAGCCGUAGGGAAACCGAGUGUUAACUGCGCGUUUAGUUGCUAGGUGUAGACCCGAAACCCGGUGAUCUAGCCAUGGGCAGGUUGAAGGUUGAGUAACAUCAACUGGAGGACCGAACCGACUAAUGUUGAAAAAUUAGCGGAUGACUUGUGGCUGGGGGUGAAAGGCCAAUCAAACCGGGAGAUAUCUGGUUCUCCUCGAAAGCUAUUUAGGUAGCGCCUCGGACGAACACCUUUGGGGGUAGAGCACUGUUAAGGCUAGGGGGUCAUCCCGACUUACCAACCCUUUGCAAACUCCGAAUACCAAAGAGUGCUAUCCGGGAGACAGACGGCGGGUGCUAACGUCCGUCGUCAAAAGGGAAACAACCCAGACCGUCAGCUAAGGUCCCAAAGUAAUUGCUAAGUGGGAAACGAUGUGGGAAGGCUUAGACAGCUAGGAUGUUGGCUUAGAAGCAGCCAUCAUUUAAAGAAAGCGUAAUAGCUCACUAGUCGAGUCGGCCUGCGCGGAAGAUGUAACGGGGCUAAGCAAUUCACCGAAGCUACGGGUACUGAUGCUUGCAUCAGUGCGGUAGAGGAGCGUUCUGUAAGCCGUUGAAGGCGAAGGGGUAACCCACGCUGGAGGUAUCAGAAGUGCGAAUGCUGACAUGAGUAACGAUAAAGGGGGUGAAAAACCCCCUCGCCGAAAGACCAAGGGUUCCUGUCCAACGUUAAUCGGGGCAGGGUGAGUCGACCCCUAAGGCGAGGCUGAAAGGCGUAGUCGAUGGGAAACGGGUUAAUAUUCCCGUACUUCUGCUAACUGCGAUGGAGAGACGGAGAAGGCUAGGCCGGCGCGGCGUUGGUAGUCCGCGUUUAAGGUAGUAGGUGGUGUGCUUAGGCAAAUCCGGGCACACAUACACUGAGAGCUGACGACGAGUCCCUAAGGGGAUGAAGUGGUUGAUGCCAUGCUUCCAGGAAAAUCUUCUAAGCUUCAGGUUAGCAGGAAUCGUACCCCAAACCGACACAGGUGGUCGGGUAGAGAAUACCAAGGCGCUUGAGAGAACUCGGCUGAAGGAACUAGGCAAAAUGGUACCGUAACUUCGGGAGAAGGUACGCUCCUGUUGGUGAUGAGACUUGCUCUCUGAGCUGACGGGAGUCGCAGAUACCAGGUGGCUGCAACUGUUUAUCAAAAACACAGCACUGUGCAAAAUCGCAAGAUGACGUAUACGGUGUGACGCCUGCCCGGUGCCGGAAGGUUAAUUGAUUGGGUUAUCUUCGGAGAAGCUCAUGAUCGAAGCCCCGGUAAACGGCGGCCGUAACUAUAACGGUCCUAAGGUAGCGAAAUUCCUUGUCGGGUAAGUUCCGACCUGCACGAAUGGCGUAAUGAUGGCCACGCUGUCUCCAGCCGAGACUCAGUGAAGUUGAAAUUGCGGUGAAGAUGCCGUAUACCCGCGGCUAGACGGAAAGACCCCGUGAACCUUUACUAUAGCUUGGCACUGAACAUUGACCCUACAUGUGUAGGAUAGGUGGGAGACUAUGAAGAUGAGACGCCAGUCUUGUUGGAGUCAACCUUGAAAUACCACCCUUGUAGUGUUGAUGUUCUAACCUGGGCCCCUAAUCGGGGUUAGGGACAGUGCCUGGUGGGUAGUUUGACUGGGGCGGUCUCCUCCCAAAGAGUAACGGAGGAGCACGAAGGUUGGCUAAGUACGGUCGGACAUCGUACGGUUAGUGUAAUGGCAUAAGCCAGCUUAACUGCGAGACAGACACGUCGAGCAGGUGCGAAAGCAGGUCAUAGUGAUCCGGUGGUUCUGAAUGGAAGGGCCAUCGCUCAACGGAUAAAAGGUACUCCGGGGAUAACAGGCUGAUACCGCCCAAGAGUUCAUAUCGACGGCGGUGUUUGGCACCUCGAUGUCGGCUCAUCACAUCCUGGGGCUGAAGUCGGUCCCAAGGGUAUGGCUGUUCGCCAUUUAAAGUGGUACGCGAGCUGGGUUCAGAACGUCGUGAGACAGUUCGGUCCCUAUCUGCCGUGGGCGUUGGAUGAUUGAGGGGAGCUGCUCCUAGUACGAGAGGACCGGAGUGGACGAACCGCUGGUGUUCGGGUUGUCAUGCCAAUGGCAUUGCCCGGUAGCUACGUUCGGAAUCGAUAACCGCUGAAAGCAUCUAAGCGGGAAGCGAGCCCCAAGAUGAGUCAUCCCUAGGGCCUAGAGCCCUCUGAAGAGCCGUUCGAGACCAGGACGUUGAUAGGCAGGGUGUGUAAGCGUUGCGAGGCGUUGAGCUAACCUGUACUAAUGACUCGAGAGGCUUAACCAU
Molecule: ribosomal RNA, 3162 nt
Filed under: Shewanella algae
Lineage: Bacteria; Pseudomonadati; Pseudomonadota; Gammaproteobacteria; Alteromonadales; Shewanellaceae
Description: 23S ribosomal RNA
Rfam family: Bacterial large subunit ribosomal RNA
Source: RNAcentral